UACGUAGGGGGCAAGCGUUGUCCGGAAUCAUUGGGCGUAAAGAGCGUGUAGGCGGCCCGAUAAGUCCGCUGUGAAAGUCCAGGGCUCAACCCUGGGAUGCCGGUGGAUACUGUCGGGCUCGAGUCCGGAAGAGGAGUGUGGAAUUCCUGGUGUAGCGGUGAAAUGCGCAGAUAUCAGGAGGAACACCAAUGGCGAAGGCAGCACUCUGGGACGUUACUGACGCUGAGACGCGAAAGCGUGGGGAGCAAACAGG
This 253-nucleotide ribosomal RNA is filed under the name uncultured bacterium. Its description in RNAcentral is "partial 16S ribosomal RNA". It matches the Rfam family "Bacterial small subunit ribosomal RNA", at positions 524 to 776 of the family's 1533-position model. The record is from RNAcentral.